GUGAAUCAUCAAAUCUUUGAACGCAAAUUGCACUCUCUGGUAUUCCGGAAAGUAUGCCUGUUUGAGGGUCAGUUUAAUUAAAAUUGGUGUUGUUGCUACCCGUAGUGGUGUGUGCUGCAUAGUAGUUGAGUCGUUCUUUCCCUUUGGUUUCAGUGAUUUAAACUUAUGUUCGAUCUUUCAUAGUAUAUAAAUUAUUACUUCCUUUCGUAAUAUCACUUAUUAGGUUCGGUAAUUCACAUGAUUUCGCGUCUAUAUUUUUUCAUUAUUUGACCUCAAACCAGGAAAGAA
This 288-nucleotide unclassified non-coding RNA is filed under the name Glomeraceae sp. Its description in RNAcentral is "partial contains 5.8S ribosomal RNA and internal transcribed spacer 2". The stretch from base 1 to 71 matches the Rfam family "5.8S ribosomal RNA", at positions 84 to 154 of the family's 154-position model. The record is from RNAcentral. Lineage: Eukaryota; Fungi; Glomeromycota; Glomeromycetes; Glomerales; Glomeraceae.